Non-coding RNA from Chelonia mydas (Green sea turtle), 1869 nucleotides. Lineage: Eukaryota; Metazoa; Chordata; Testudines; Cheloniidae. The record is from the annotation of a RefSeq genome assembly.
UCUGUGCAGUCACCAGCCAGUCCCCUGAGAACUUUCCCCUCCAGCACCCGGCAGAAAAAAUGGGAUUUUUGCUCCUUGUCAUUGUCGCUCUAGCAGCUUUGGAAGGUGUCCGGUCCCAGACGCUGGUGGAGUCUGGAGGGGGUGUGAAAAAGCCCGGAGACUCUCUCCGCCUCUCCUGCAAAGCCUCCGGGUUCACCUUCAGCAGCUACGGGAUGAACUGGGUCCGCCAGGCUCCCGGGAAGGGAUUAGAAUGGGUCGCUUAUAUAAGAUACGAUGGGAGUACUAUAUACUACCUCGAUGCAGUGAAAGGGCGAUUCACCAUCUCCAGGGAUAACUCCAAGAGUGAGCUGUAUCUGCAAAUGACCGGUCUGAAGCCUGAGGACACCGCCCGCUAUUACUGCGCGGGAGACACAGUCGGGGACUCAUACAAUGCUUUUGACUACUGGGGACAAGGAACAACGGUGACCGUUUCCAGCGCUAGCCCCACGGCCCCGUCUGUCUUCCCCCUGACCUCCUGCACCGACGACGACACCCACCAGAUCACCUUCGGCUGCCUGGCCAAAGGAUACUUCCCCGAGCCGGUCACCGUGACGUGGAGCCCAAAUGUCGCCUCCUCGGGCGUGAAGACUUAUCCCUCCCUGCUGCAACCUUCCAGCGGCCUCUACACGCUCAGCAGCCAGGUCACCGUCCCGUCCAGCAGCUGGAAGUCUAACACCUAUAGCUGCAAAGUACAACACCAGCCCACCAGCUCCAGCAUCUCCAAGGAAAUCCCAAAGCCCAUCCCCAUUGAACCCGAGGUGCACGUCCUCCACUCCUCCUGCACCAGCAAGCCAGGUGCCAUCCAGCUGGUGUGCUUCAUCUCCGGCUUCUACCCCGAGCCUUUGACGGUGGAAUGGCUGGUGGACGGCAAGCCCGGGCAACUUUCUGGUGACACCGACUCUGCCAAGAAGGACGCCAACGGCCGCACCUUCAGGACCCGCAGUAAUGCCAGUGUCUCCCAGGACGAGUGGCUGGAGGGCAAGAUGUACACCUGCCAGGUGUAUCACCCGGGCACCGGAAGCAAAAAGCAGGACCACGCCCACAAGUGCAGAGAAGAAAAAACAUCUCCCAGCGACAUCCAAGUCUUCCUGGUGCCCCCAUCCCCCACCGCCCUGUACGUGACCCAGAGACCCAUGCUCACCUGCCUGGUGGUCAACCUGCCGAGCGACUCCGGCCUCCGGGUGGUCUGGUCCCGGGAGAAGCCAGAGUCCAUUAGGCCUGAUGAGCCGGACAUCACUGAGCACUUCAACGGCACCUUCACCGCCUCCAGGUCCAUGCCCAUCCUCACCCACGACUGGGAGGAUGGAGAGACCUUUACCUGCAGAGUGGAGCACUCAGACCUACCCUCGCCCCUUGUGAAAUCCAUCUCCAAGAAGCCAGGCAAGCACUCCACCCCGGGUGUCUACCUCCUGCGCCCCCACAACGAGGAGCUAAGGAGCAAAGGAGACUCCGUCAGCCUCACCUGCCUGGUGCGGGGCUUCUUCCCCGAGGACAUCUCGGUGCAGUGGAUGAAGAACCAUGAAGGUGAAAAGGAGACUGACAACAUCACCACUCCGCCCAUGAAGGAAAAAGAUGGCGACUCGAACUUCUUCCUCUACAGCAAGCUGAAAGUCAGCAAGGACAGCUGGAACAGCGGGGACACCUACACCUGCAUGGUCAUCCACGAAGCCCUGCAGAUGAAGUUCACCCAGCGCAGUGUCAGCAAAGUCUCUGGUAAAUGAAGACGUCUCCUCCCAGCCCCACUGGUAGCAUUGUCCAGUACAGCUUCCUGUAAAUAAUCUCUGUGCCCUCAGUGAUGACAAGUGAAUAAACGGAACGAGUCUGAGCUCA